GUAGGGAAUAUUGCACAAUGGAGGAAACUCUGAUGCAGCGACGCCGCGUGAGUGAUGAAGGCCUUCGGGUCGUAAAACUCUGUGAUAAGGGAAGAUGAUGACGGUACCUUAUCAGAAAAGACCGGCUAACUUCGUGCCAGCAGCCGCGGUAAUACGAUGGGUCUAAGCGUUGUUCGGAAUCACUGGGCGUAAAGCGGGUGUAGGUGGCUAUGCAAGUUGGAUGUGAAAGCCCCGGGCUCAACCCGGGAAGUGCAUCCAAAACUACGUAGCUUGAGUGCGGGAGAGAAAGGCAGAAUUCCUGGUGUAGUGGUGAAAUACGUAGAUAUCAGGAGGAACUCAGGUGGCGAAGGCGGCCUUUUGGCCCAGCACUGACACUCAGACCCGAAAGCGUGGGUAGCAAACAGGAUUAGAAACCCUAGUAGUCC
RNAcentral lists this ribosomal RNA (425 nucleotides) under uncultured bacterium. RNAcentral's name for it is "bacterial SSU rRNA". It matches the Rfam family "Bacterial small subunit ribosomal RNA", at positions 354 to 796 of the family's 1533-position model. The record is from RNAcentral.